UGACCGCUGGCGGCGUGCCUAAUACAUGCAAGUCGAGCGAACAGACGAGGAGCUUGCUCCUCUGACGUUAGCGGCGGACGGGUGAGUAACACGUGGAUAACCUACCUAUAAGACUGGGAUAACUUCGGGAAACCGGAGCUAAUACCGGAUAAUAUAUUGAACCGCAUGGUUCAAUAGUGAAAGACGGUUUUGCUGUCACUUAUAGAUGGAUCCGCGCCGCAUUAGCUAGUUGGUAAGGUAACGGCUUACCAAGGCAACGAUGCGUAGCCGACCUGAGAGGGUGAUCGGCCACACUUGAACUGAGACACGGUCCAGACUCCUACGGGAGGCAGCAGUAGGGAAUCUUCCGCAAUGGGCGAGAGCCUGACGGAGCAACGCCGCGUGAGUGAUGAAGGUCUUCGGAUCGUAAAACUCUGUUAUUAGGGAAGAACAAAUGUGUAAGUAACUAUGCACGUCUUGACGGUACCUAAUCAGAAAGCCACGGCUAACUACGUG
RNAcentral lists this ribosomal RNA (495 nucleotides) under uncultured bacterium. Its description in RNAcentral is "partial 16S ribosomal RNA". It matches the Rfam family "Bacterial small subunit ribosomal RNA", at positions 30 to 507 of the family's 1533-position model. The record is from RNAcentral.